GUAUACGGCCAUGCCAACCUGAACAAGCCCGAUCCCAUCUGAUCUGAGAAGCUAAGCAGAGUCAGGCCUGGUUAGCACUUGGAUGGGAGACCACCUAUGAAUACCAGGUGAUGUAGGCA
Molecule: ribosomal RNA, 119 nt
Filed under: Pteropus alecto (black flying fox)
Lineage: Eukaryota; Metazoa; Chordata; Mammalia; Chiroptera; Pteropodidae
Source: RNAcentral